This 646-nucleotide long non-coding RNA is filed under the name Ananas comosus (pineapple). RNAcentral describes it as "long non-coding RNA (ACOM_LNC020167)". Lineage: Eukaryota; Viridiplantae; Streptophyta; Magnoliopsida; Poales; Bromeliaceae. The record is from RNAcentral.
GUUUUGAUUUAUUUUGACCUUAUGUAAACCUGAUUGCUAGGUACACGAACGCGUUGGUGAAGUCGGUUCGACGAUUCGUCGAGCCUACGCGAAGUUAUUGAAGAAAUGGACCGUUGAAGCUUUGUUUCCUUCUGGAGGGCCGAGGCGACGCCCAAAAAUCAUGAAAUCGGAAUCGAGGCCUCGUGGCAACUAACCGUAGACCUUUAAUUUUCGGAUCAUGGAUUGGAGGCCGUUCGGGUGGUCGCGCGAGAGUUUGGGCCGAACCGGGUUACGGGUGCCGCGGGAGGCCGAUUGUAAGUGACUACAAGCAAUCGGAGUGCGAGUUGAGGUGGGUUGUGUUUACCGAAGCGACUAAGUCGCCUGUAUGUCUAAGAUGAGUGUUUAUCAUUGAUGCAUAUAGUGGUAGCUAAUGUUAGAGUAUGUGAAUGCAUGAGAUGAAUGCUAUAUGGGCUACCAAUGAAUGCAUGAAUGACAUAGUAUAGAAAUGCUAGAUAAAUGCAUUGAUUAAUGCUAGUUGAAUGCACGUAGUUGAAUGCACGUUGCAUGUUAUAGAAAUGCUAAUGUAAGAAUGCUAAGUGAAUAUAUGAUAAGCAUGAGAUAGAGAACUAUGUUAAAUGACAUGUGCAUGUGGAUACAUAUCUAUACA